CCUGCGCACUAGAAAUGGGAGAUCUAGAUCCGGCUAGAUCUGGCAACAUUAGACGAUCUCGAUCUCGAUUGUCGACAUCAGUAACUGUUGAGUCGUUACGUAGCACUGUACGUUCUUCAGUAGAGUCUGGUGAUGAUUGAAUGCAUCAUGGACUGAUGCCGUUGCUGUUUCAAGAAAUCCACUUGUUACAACAAAUAACGAUGAAAUAUAGCAGCACCGUAUAUUAAAAAGGGCUUUCCAUGUUUGGGUCUCCAGAAACAUAUGUAUGGACUUUGUAAAAUCCAGGUAAACCUAUUCCUCAGUGAGGCACAUCGUCAUAAAUCUUCUCCUAUACUGGUAUGGUGAGCCCGUUUCAAUCAUUUUUAUUACAAAAUACAUGUAAUCAUGCGUUUCCAUUUUUAUUAGUACAGAUUUAUUAAGUAAUGUACUAUACUCUUUUACGAACGAAUGCUUACAAACUGAUAGCGCUUGAUGUGGUACUUGCCGUAUUAAAAAUAUAAUCAGAAUGAUCGAACCGAGAUUUCUAUUUAUACGGGCAGUAUGCGCGUCUUUGUCUGCGAUUAGACUAAGAUUUGAAAUAUUUUGGUUCAUGCAACCAAACCGCUUCUGAGGUCGAUCGCGCCUUUACAUUGUAGAUUUCCCUUUAUUUCCUCAGAUAACUGUUACCCAGUUUUCGUUUUUCUUUAUGAGU
Molecule: long non-coding RNA, 691 nt
Organism: Bombus pyrosoma
Lineage: Eukaryota; Metazoa; Arthropoda; Insecta; Hymenoptera; Apidae
Exons: 3
Source: RefSeq, a predicted model, not a curated record